This 179-nucleotide ribosomal RNA is filed under the name Astrosyne radiata. RNAcentral's name for it is "partial Bacterial small subunit ribosomal RNA". It matches the Rfam family "Bacterial small subunit ribosomal RNA", at positions 87 to 260 of the family's 1533-position model. The record is from RNAcentral. Lineage: Eukaryota; Bacillariophyta; Fragilariophyceae; Cyclophorales; Cyclophoraceae.
UUUGGUCAGCGGCGGACGGGUGAGUAACACGUGGGUAACCUGCCCAAGAGAUCGGGAUAACACCUGGAAACAGAUGCUAAUACCGGAUAACAACAGAUGAUGCCUAUCAACUGUUUAAAAGAUGGUUCUGCUAUCACUCUUGGAUGGACCUGCGGUGCAUUAGCUAGUUGGUAGGGUAA